Molecule: ribosomal RNA, 1161 nt
Filed under: uncultured marine eukaryote
Lineage: Eukaryota
Description: SSU rRNA
Rfam family: Eukaryotic small subunit ribosomal RNA
Source: RNAcentral
CGUAUAUUAACGUUGUUGCAGUUAAAAAGCUCGUAGUUGGAUUUCGAGGCCUGGGUGGCUGUCACCCUAUGGGUAGGCGGGCCGCCUGGGUCUCUUAUUUCCGGGGACGGCGUCACUUUUAAUUAAGGGGCGUUCGGACGCGGAUCGUUUACUUUGAAAAAAUUAGAGUGUUCAAAGCAGGCCUUCGCUUGAAUACAUUAGCAUGGAAUAAUGGAAUAGGACUCUGGGCCUAUUUUGUUGGUUUCUGGGACUAGAGUAAUGAUUAAUAGGGACAGUUGGGGGCGUUCAUAUUCCGAUGUCAGAGGUGAAAUUCUUGGAUUUUCGGAAGAUGAACUUCUGCGAAAGCAUUCGCCAAGGAUGUUUUCAUUAAUCAAGAACGAAAGUUAGGGGAUCGAAGACGAUCAGAUACCGUCGUAGUCUUAACCAUAAACUAUGCCGACUCAGGAUCAGUGGAAGUUCGAUUUCGACUCCAUUGGCACUGUGUGAGAAAUCAAAGUUUUUGGGUUCCGGGGGGAGUAUGGUCGCAAGGCUGAAACUUAAAGGAAUUGACGGAAGGGCACACCAGAAGUGGAGCCUGCGGCUUAAUUUGACUCAACACGGGGAAACUUACCAGGUCCAGACACAGUAAGGAUUGACAGAUUGAGAGCUCUUUCUUGAUUCUGUGGGUGGUGGUGCAUGGCCGUUCUUAGUUGGUGGAGUGAUUUGUCUGGUUAAUUCCGAUAACGAACGAGACCUCAGCCUGCUAACUAGGUGCGCGAUCCACGCGAUCGUAGUACCUUCUUAGAGGGACUAUUCGUGUUUAACGAAGGGAAGUUUGAGGCAAUAACAGGUCUGUGAUGCCCUUAGAUGUCCUGGGCCGCACGCGCGCUACACUGAUUCAAGCAACAAGUUACAACCUUGACCGAAAGGCCCGGGUAAACUUCAAAAUUGAAUCGUGCUGGGGAUAGACUAUUGCAAUUAUUAGUCUUCAACGAGGAAUUUCUAGUAAGCGCGAGUCAUCAGCUCGCGUUGAUUACGUCCCUGCCCUUUGUACACACCGCCCGUCGCUCCUACCGAUUGGAUGGUCCGGUGAAGUUUUCGGACGACGACGGUUUUGGGUUCUGCCCAUGCCUGUCUGUCGGAAGUCACCUAAACCUUACCAUCUAGAGGAAGGAGAAGUCG